CUUGGUAAACCUUGGGUGGACUGGGGAGAACUGAGGAGGGGAAGCGCUUUUUUGUUGCUUCUCUGUGUUUUCUAUUUUAUUUUAUUUAUUUUAUUUUUAGAUUUUCAGUUCUUAUUUCACCCAGGGAAGGAGACCUGGGUAUCCACCCCAUGUCCUCCAGAGAACUUCCCUGGCCCCGCUCGGAGUCUUCCUGGGACGCCACAGGCUCGGAGAGCGCUCCGCAGGUUUCUCCCCCGGCGCCUCCAAAUCUUUCGAUUCCUACUCGAAUUACUCCGUCAGCUGCUGGAAGAGGGGCAAGGGAGCCAGGAGGACUUCUGGAGCCCGCCCAGCAAGACCCUCUCUCUCCCAUCUUCUGCUCAAGGGCUCGAGGUCUCAGUGGACAGAGCUGAAGAAAAGCCGUCUAUGGAGCCUGCGCCAGGCGCAGACUGGGUCGUCGCAGUCUGGGUCGUCGCAGUCUGGGCCGGGGCGCUGGAAGUCUUACUCACUUCUCAAGAACCCGCAAGGGAUCAGGCCUGACCCUUUGCAAGUGACAGAAUCCAAAGCUUUGAGCUCAUGGGAAAGUGGCUGGAAAGAAGGUCACUGUAGGGCCGCACAGGUCUCUGGCGAGGCUACCCAAGAACAUUUAAAUCCCUGCCCAGAGAAGAAGAGGCUCCAGCUGUCCUGCACCUUCCUGGGAACUGGCAGUCCCUCCGCGCAGGGGUUCUGCAGCGACCGGCAGCGCGAGGAGACAAGGAUGGUGGCCAGUUAACAGAAAAUCAAGGCAGCGGGAAAGGUCUGGAAAACACCACCUACUAUCACCUCUGGAGCCUGGGAUUAUGGGAUAAGUUUUCGAUUUUUAAAUGUAUUGUCAAAUAGCUAAAGUACACGGAAAGUGCGAAAUAAUAGUAAAUUGAACACCUGUGUAUUCACCACACAGCUUAAGCAAUAACAUUAGCAAUAUUUGGGUACCCAGCUGGUCUCAUUCCCUCAUUCCACUUGUCCCCUACUCACCUGAUAGCCAGUACAAUUUUAUGAAUUUAAAGUUACUAAUUCCCAUGCAACUGUUUAUACUUUUAGUAAAUGUGUUUAUGUCCCUCAUCAACACAUGACACUGAUUCAACACAUGUAUAUGCGUUUAAGCUGCAUGUAAAUGGCAUCAUGUUGGCCAGGUGCAGUUACUCACGACUGUAAUUCCAGCACUUUGGAAGGCUGAGAGGGAAGACGGCUUGAGGCCCAGAGUUUGAGACCAGCCUGGGCAACAUAGCAAGACCCUAUCUCUAAAAAAAAAAAAUUGUUUGUUUGUUUGUUUGUUUGUUUGAGACGGAGUCUUGCUGUGUCACUCAGGCUGGAGUGCAGUGGCGCAAUCUCGGCUUGCUGCAAUGUCGGCCUCCGGGGUUCAAGCAAUUCUCCUGCCUUGGCCUCCCAAGUAGCUGGGACUACAGGCACAUCCCACCACGCCCAGCUGAUUUUUGUAUUUUUAGUAGAGACAAGGUUUCACCAUAUUGGCCAUGCUGGUCUACGAACUCUUGACCUCAUGAUCUGCCUGCCUCGGCUUUCCAAAGUGCUGGAAUUACAGGUGUGAGCCCCCGCGCCCAGCCAAAAAAAUUGUUUUAAAUUAGCUGGGUGUGGUGGUGCCUGCCUAUGAAGUCCCAGCUACUCAGGAGGCUGAAGUGGGAAGAUGGCUUGAGCCCAGGAGUUGAAGGAUGCUAUGAGCUCUGAUUGUGCCACUGCACCCCUGCAUGGGCAAUAGAGUGAGACCCUGUCUCUUUAAAAAAAAAAAAAAAAGUAUCAUAUUGUAUGUGUUCUGUAGAACUUGCUCCCACACUUUAACAUUUUGCUUUAAAGAUUUGUUCAUGUACUUAGAUCAUUCCUUUUCACUGCUUUAUGAGCUGAAUCAUUUCUGCUCUUCUUUCCAUCCAUACCCAUUGGUCUCCAAAGUAUCCAGGCCUCCCCAAAAGUUCCUGCAGGAGACCUCAGUUCCACUGGCUUUCAGGUCAUUAUUGUUCCAGCACUACUUCUCCAUUUCUGGUUCCAGCCCUUCUCUCCCACAUUCUCAAGCUUCUAGAGGGUCAUAAGAGAGGAAAAACGCCAAAUGCCUUUGAUAAAAUGUUGCCUUUCCAGUGGUAUGCAUGUUUGUGUGGAGUGGGAGGGAAGUGAGGGCAGAUGUGACUUACUCUCAGCAUUAAUUCAAGUUUAAAAGUAAAAUCUUUAGGUUUGCCUUGUCCAGUAAAAAAUGCCAAGAGCCAUAACUGCUCAUUCUCUCUCUCUCUCUCUCUUCUCUCUCUCUCCUCUCUCUCUCUCUCUCAUACACACACUUGGUUAAUGCAAUAUUUACGUUGUUUUUGCUUCAACAAACUAAAGAGGAGAAGAGAGUUGGUAGGUUAAAGGGGCAGGUUAUUCUUUUUUUUUUUUUUUUUUUUGAGGCAGAAUCUCGCUUUGUCACCCAGGCUGGAGAGCAGUGGCUCGAUCUUGGCUCGCUGCAAGCUCUACCUCCCAGGUUCAUGCCAUUCUCCUGCCUCAGCCUCCUGAGUAGCUGGGACUACAGGUGCCCGCCACCACACCCAGCUAUUUUUUUUUUUUUUGUAUUUUUAGUAGAGACGGGGUUUCACUGUGUUAGCCAGGAUGGUCUCAGUCUCCUGACCUCAUGUUCCGCCCGCCUCGGCCUCCCAAAGUGCUGGGAUUACAGGCGUGAGCCACUGUGCCCGGCCAAAGGGGCAUGUUAUCUUAUUAAGGGCAGGCAGUCUCUCACAGAAAGAAUCACUGUAUUAGUGUAGGGAGAAUCACUGCCUAGGUCAGCCGUGUGUCAAUGACCUGUGUCACUGUCCUCAGUCUGCACAGUGAGACUGGAGGCUGCAUGCCAUGGUCUACAGAUCCCUCACUACAGAAAAUUUGCUUCAGCAUUCUCCGUGAGAGUCACAGGGAGAUUGAUUAUGGGGGUCAAUGCUCAAUGGCAUCAUGGCUGGCCAAGCUUUUUGCAGAAACUUUUACUAGGGGACUGAGGAUUAUAGCAGCAAGCAUCUUAGCAUAGAGCCUUAUCUGUGUUUCCACAGACUAUCUUUCAAACCCAAGCUACUUGUUUAUAAUAUUCACUUUUCAGGCAAAAACAUAUUUUCCACUUUUUUUCUUUUCUUGAUAAAAAGUUUAAAAAACAAAAUUUGCAUAAACACGUAUAUGAUGUUUCUUAGGAACAAUGUUUGCCAUUUGACAAAGUGUGGUGAAAUUUUGUCAGAACAAGUUUACUUGAAGGAGGGAUGAGACAUCCUUUAUCAAUGUUCAUAUGAAUCACACACAUCAGAGAGAGUGGGAGGGAGAAUCUUGGUUCUCUGGCACUCCCAGUACCCACAUUGAGAUCCGAGAGUGUCCUGAUGAUUUUCCUGUCUCAGUAAGUAAUUAAGCUUUUCCUGAAGGAGCUCAGUUAAGUCCAAGCUUAAUUUCAGUCAAGUCCAAUGUUUAAGUUGCUUUUUCAGCUACAUGAAAUGAAAGUGUGACUCAGAAUUUUCUCUCUAUAUCCCCUCAGAUCUUUAGCACACUGAGGGUAAUUACAGAGUCUCAAAGCAUAUCCCCACAAGAUGCUCUAUUUAUUACAAAGGAAAAAGACACUAAUUUUCCAGAGAAUCCUGGAAUAUAUCACCUCAACCAAGUGAUCAAAGUUAACAUCAUUAGUAACAGGACAAAUUAAAUUGCAUGCCACUAAAAGAACAAUUUUUAUUUCUUAUGUAUUCCUGACCCAAUAAAACAAAACAAAACAGCACAAUAGAAAGUAACUAUAAGGAAACAUUAGAGGGUUCAAUGGUGCCCACCUGUAGUCCAAGCUACUUGGGAGUUUGAGGCAGGAGGAUUGCUUGAGGCCAGGAGUUCAAGACCAGCCUGGGCAAUAUAGCAAGACCCUGUCUCAAAGUAAAAAGAAAAGAAAACGUUAAACCCAAACCCAAAUGGAAAGACUGUUCUAGAUUGAAGAACAUUAAAAAGACAAGACAAAGUCACCAUGUAAUCCUAGGCUGUAGCUCGGACUAGAAAAAAAAUUCUUUUUGCUGUAAAGGACACUCUGGCAAUUGUGAGAAUGCACUUCAAAGACCUCAACUUGGAGCUUAAUUCACAAAGCACCCCAGCUGCCUCACUUUGAAAUCCAUUGCACAUUUGUGUGAAGGCCAUGCUUCCAUGGGCUGCUCCCAGCUGAUGACUGAGUAUGGCAAGGACAGCAGGGCAGGCCUUCUCCUAGGAGACAAAGGAUGCCUCUAAUGGCCAACUUUUGCUUGACUUUGAGUAAAUAUCUGGCAUACUUCCACCCAAUCUUUUUCCCCUCUCCUCCACACAGGAUCAGACUUGCAUCAUUGUCUGACAGCUCUCUCAUCUUUCAUUGACUCCCAACUCUCAGCAACAUGGAAAUGCCCAAAUUCCCCUGACAUAUGGUAGAGGAAGAAAUAAAGAGUUUGAGGGAAAUGAGCAUGAAGGAAUGGAUAUAUUAGGUAAGACCAGAAGUAAUGCAGCUAGAGGAUUUUGUUCUAUGACAUGUCCCAGAUUACACGCCACUCACCAAGACUGCCAGAAAGCACUGGUGAGAGGGGCACCUGCAUCAAAGAAGUCCAGUGAUGGCUGUCCACUGCAUGCCAAAGAGGAUGGUAGGUGAGGCAGUCUCAAAGCUGGGCUCAUUAACACCCAUGGGAAUGCAUGAUGGGAGCCCUCAAAUAAUAGAAGCUAGGAGGUCACAAUUACCACAGUAACUGGCAUGGUUAGUCAGACAGCCACCGGGACUAGAGCCACAGGGAGUUGUGGAGAUGGUUAAUGGAGAAUGAUGUCCUUAGAGGCAAAAUAGACAGGCAGCCAAUAAGAAUGUUACUUAACAUCCAUAACCCACGAAGAGCAAUAAUAAAGGAGCAGGAAGCUAUGGGUGAUUGCCCCCAGUAAAAAGCCACAACUUCUUGUUUAGUUCUCAAACUCAAGUCAAUUUGCAGAUCUGGAACCCACUGGCUGAAGUGAUGGGUCCCCAGGAGGAAGAAUCUUACAAUGCCAUGGCAAAUGUAUGCCAUGACAAUUCCUCCAGCUCUUCCCCAAAGGUACCUAUGGGCAUUUACUCAUGUGACCAUAUGCUGGGGAAAGGAAAUAACCAGACAUUUCAAGGUCUGUUGAAUAUGGGAUGUGAGUUAACACUGAUACCCAGAAACCUGAAAUAUCAUCAUAGUGCCUGUUACAAUGGGACAAGGUAAUGAAUGGAGUUCUGUCUGAAAUCUGACUCACAGUGGUUCAUUUGGUCUGUGGAUGAUUUCCCAAGCAGCCAAGUGCAUAGUUGGACUAUCCCCAACAUUAGGCCCGGGUCGGUAAAGCAUAACUAUUAUAGUGGGGACGGCCAAAUGGAAACCUCUGAAGCUGCCCACAACUCAGCCAAGAUGAUAAAUAAAAAUCAGUUUCAUAGUGUAAGAGAUGCGUGCCACUAUUAAAGAACUAAAGGAUGCAGGGAAGGCAGUUCCCGUUAUAUUUUCAUUUAAUUUGUUAGCCUAGCCCCUGAAGAAAUUGGCAAGAUCCUGAAGAAUGACUAUAGACUACCACAGGCUUAACCGAGGAGUAACUCUGAUUCUGGCUGCUAUUUGGUGUCAUCUAGAUCAACGUUAGUAAGCCUUCAGGUGAAAAGUAUGUGAGCACUGAUUUGGCGAAUGCAUUCUCUUCCAUUCCAAUUGAAAAGAAGAUCAGAAACAGUUCACAUUCAUGUGGAACGGACAAAAAUAUUCAGUUACAUUUUGCUCCAGGGUUAUUUUAACUCUUGCUUUCAGUCAUAAUAUAGUACAAAGAAAUCUGCACCAUCUGGACAGCCCAGAGAACACCACAUGGACCCAUUACUUUGACAUCAUGCUUCUGAACAGAUGAACAAGUGGUGGCUCUAGGGGCCUUGGUAAGAUGUACACAUUCCAGAGGACUGGAGAUAAACCAUGCUAAGAUUUCAGGAACCAGCCACUCCUGUGAAAUUUUUAAGGGAUUCAGCAGUAAGAGUUGCACUAGGUGUCCCCUCCAUAGUAAAGGACAAAUUUCUGUAUCUUGCAUCCCCUACCGCAAAGAAGAAAGCAUAGCAUCUGGCAGGACUAUUUAACUUCUACAGGCAACAUACUCCAUACCAAAAAUACUACUCUGGACCAUAAAUCAGGUGACAUGUAGAGCUGCAUGCUUCAAGGGACCUAGAGCAGGAAGUACUGCAGCAGUACUGCAGUACAUGGCGCAAUCACACCCUGCAACUUGCACCUUACAAUCUGACAGCCUGUGGCAUUCUAUCUGGCAAUAGUUGGACAAUGCAGUAUGGGGAUCAUGGCAAGCCCCAGAGGGAGAAUCCCAAGGCAGGCACCUGGGAUUCUGGAACAAGGCCAUGACAUCCACAGCAGAGAAUUAUAUGCCAUUUGAGAAAUAGCACUUGCACGUUAGUGGAUCCUGAUAGAGACUGAACACUUAUCCUUGGGACACCAGCUAACCAUGCAUCUGAAACUGUCCAUGAUAAGCUGGAUUCUGUUGGACCUAACAAGUCCCCAAGUUGGAUGGGCCCAGAAGCAGAACGUGUUAAUGUGGAAAUCCAGAAUGGAACUUGAGCAGGAGCAAAGGACACAAUUAAGCUGCAGGAGCAGGUAGUCCAGACUCUCCUAUACUCCCCUAUGUCACUCACCACACUUGCACUAGUUUGCACCUAUUUCUCUACAGGAGCUAAAGAGGUGCCCAUACAACUAAGUGAAAGAGAAAAAAAAACUCAAGCAUAGCUUACAGAUGGGUUAGCUUAGUAUGUGCGUGCAGACCAGAAAUGAACUGUGACUGUGUUAUAGCCACAUGCUGUAGGGAGUAGUCCUGAAAGACAGUGAAAAGGGAAGAUUUUCUCAGUAGGCAGAGCUCUGAAUCAUGCACCUGAUUAUUCACUUUGUGUGGAAGGAGAAGUGGCCUGAAGUAAGAAUAAAUAAGCCGAGUGUAGGGGUGUGCACCUGUAGUCACAGCUUCUUCGGAGACUGAGGCAGGAGGAUCACCUGAGCCUGGGAGUUUGAAGCUACAGUGAACUAUGAUGGCACCGCUGCACUCCAGCCUAGGUGACACAGCAAGACACUGUCUCUUUUUUUAAAAAGAAGAAGAAGGAGAAGGAGAAGAAAUAUAUAUCCUUGGGGUACACAAAAGAAACUAUCAUCAGAGGGAACAGGCAACCUAGAGAAUGGGAGAAAAUUUUUGCAAUAUACCCAUCUGAUAAAGGGCUAAUAUCCAGAAUCUACAAAGAACUUAAACAAAUUUACAAGAAAAAAAACCAAUCCCAUCAAAAAGUGGGCAAAGGAUAUGAACAGACAUUUCUCAAAAGAAGACAUUUAUGCAG
Molecule: long non-coding RNA, 7303 nt
Filed under: Homo sapiens (human)
Lineage: Eukaryota; Metazoa; Chordata; Mammalia; Primates; Hominidae
Description: non-protein coding lnc-SLC35G3-1:8
Source: RNAcentral